AAAUUACCACAAACUGGGUUACUUAAAAAGACAAAGUUUAUUUUCUCACAGAUUUGAAGGUCAGAAGUCUGAAAUCAAAGUGGGAGCCAUCCUCCCUCCCCAAGGCCCUAGCUCCUAGUGACUCCUGGCAAUCCUUGGUGUUUCUUGGUUUAUUCUGCAUCACUCCAAUCUCUGCUUCCAUCUAACCAUGGCAUUCUUUCCUGUAUCUCUGUUUCCUCUGUGCCUGGGUAUCUCUGUGCCCAAAUCUCCCUGUCCUUUCUUUGAUAAGGGUUCCUAUCAUUGGGUUUCAUGCCCACCCUAAAACCAGGAUGAUUUUAUCUAAAAAUUUUUAAUAAAUUACUACACCUGCACAGAUCCAAUUUCCAAAUAAAGUAACAUACUGGGAGGACAAUAUUCAACCCGCUACUAUGAUCAUGAUGAUGUCACAAUCUUGCAUUAUUUCAUGCCUUAAAAGUUGUCAGACAGAUCAGUUGUAGAGGGGAAGACCUACUGGGGUGAUUGGCCAAAAAUGUGGAGACCUCAGGAUAUGGCACAGGAAGUGAUCUUGGUCCUUGCAUGACAUGGCAGACGGACCUGCAGCAGCCUCAUAGCCUUGCAUGGCUUACAGCAUCCCCUGGCUCUGAUAUGCAUGGGAACAGAAUCAGCAAGUUCUACCCUAAUAUCAAAACUGAAUCACCAGCUACUAGACUAGACCACAGAACAGGUGCUUUUCUGUGUGAUUUGCAGGAAAUUCUCCCACCAGAGACCCGUAUUAUGCCUGGCAUACAGGAGGCAUUCAGAAAAUUUGAUGACUAGAAGUGUGUGUCCAUCUCAAUGACACAGGUCUCUAAAACCCUUGCUGCCAGUGUUUGGACCAAGAGGCUGGCAGCUAUGAUGGGAGCUCUGGUAGAAGGUAUUGUUUGUAACUGCUUGUGCUGCAUGGUAGGUCAGCCCAUGGCUAGCAGCACUAUUCAUACCCUGUCCUGUGCCGGAAAAACAAACGUGGGAUCCAGUAUAAGCUGUGUGUGCAAGAUAGCCUGGUCCAGGCAGAAACAUGGAAAUAUUCAUGGAGGUCCAAACAUCAUCCAUUCAUCCAUGAAAUCAAAGGCUCUUGAGCUCUUUUUAGGUCUUCUUUUAUGCAUAAAUAUACUACAUCUAUUAAAGGUAAGGGAACAUAAAACACAGCCAUUGUCCUCUGGAUAUGCACAAUAUGGAGUUUGUAUCCUCCUCUCCACAAUGCAGAGUGGCAGAGGCUAUUACUUCAUAAUGCAAUUCAUUAUAUUUUUGAAAUGGUCAAAUUGUUAACAAGUUCUUUGUUACAGCAAAUAUAAGUCUAGUUUUCUGUAAUUUCAAUUUACUUAUUGUUCUUUUCAGAUCCACUAGAGUAAUUCUAAAAUCAAUUCUAGCUCUAUUGGUAGCUACUCAACUAUUUGAAGAUUUUUAAAAAUGUUCACUCUCCCUCACCCAAAUAUUUUCUCUUCCAUUCUAAACACCUCUAGAUCAUUGAACUGCUUUUUUUUUUUAUCGGUAAAGCUUAUUUAAGUGUUUCUCAUUAAAAAUAAUUUCUAGGCAUUUCACCAUCCUGCUUAUUUUGUCCAAUAUGCUCUAGUUUGUCAAUGAUCCACUUAAAAGAAACAUUUCUUAAAAAAAUAUUUUAAGCUUUUUCUGACCAAUGCUAGAUACAGAACUGC
Molecule: long non-coding RNA, 1670 nt
Organism: Vulpes vulpes (red fox)
Lineage: Eukaryota; Metazoa; Chordata; Mammalia; Carnivora; Canidae
Source: Ensembl